RNAcentral lists this ribosomal RNA (90 nucleotides) under Ferrimonas aestuarii. RNAcentral describes it as "Ferrimonas sp. IMCC35002 partial 23S ribosomal RNA". The record is from RNAcentral. Lineage: Bacteria; Pseudomonadati; Pseudomonadota; Gammaproteobacteria; Alteromonadales; Ferrimonadaceae.
UGAUAGGCAGGGUGUGUAAGCGUUGUGAGGCGUUGAGCUAACCUGUACUAAUGACCCGUGAGGCUUAACCAUACAACACCCAAUGGGUUU